RNAcentral lists this ribosomal RNA (274 nucleotides) under uncultured bacterium. RNAcentral describes it as "partial 16S ribosomal RNA". It matches the Rfam family "Bacterial small subunit ribosomal RNA", at positions 523 to 796 of the family's 1533-position model. The record is from RNAcentral.
AUACGGAAGGUGCAAGCGUUAAUCGGAAUUACUGGGCGUAAAGCGCACGUAGGCGGUUUGCCAAGUCAGGCGUGAAAUCCCCGGGCUCAACCUGGGAACUGCGUUUGAUACUGGCAGACUAGAGGCCGGGAGAGGGUAGUGGAAUUCCCAGUGUAGAGGUGAAAUUCGUAGAUAUUGGGAAGAACACCGGUGGCGAAGGCGGCUACCUGGACCGGUUCUGACGCUGAGGUGCGAAAGCGUGGGGAGCAAACAGGAUUAGAUACCCCAGUAGUCC